Molecule: long non-coding RNA, 1184 nt
Organism: Peromyscus leucopus (white-footed mouse)
Lineage: Eukaryota; Metazoa; Chordata; Mammalia; Rodentia; Cricetidae
Exons: 5
Source: RefSeq, a predicted model, not a curated record
UUUAGACACCAUCUUAAGUACAACGUCGUUUAUUUAUCUGCUGGCAUGUUUUUGACCCCUCUGACAAGAGCUAAAGUCUCUAAGGAAGCAUGUGCUGGAAUGGCUGUUUGGGUUUUAAGCUUCAGCCACCCUCUCUUCCUUUUCUCCCUUUUCUUCUCCGCUGUCUCCCCCGGCACAUAUCGAGCAGCUCUGGAAACUUGAAGGUAUCCGCUUGCCUGUCUCUGCGCAUGCUCAACAGCCUGUACUCUCGGUCAGGAGAAAAGCAAGGUCCGGGCCCCUGCCUCCACCUGCCCAGGAUCCCAGGUACACGGUGAAGGGAUGGCCAGGCCUACCAGGAAGCAGCACCAGGCGCAUUCCCAGACUCAGGAAGAAGCUGCCCACUGAUAGCCGAGGUUUAGGUUCUACCAUUUGAAGACCAGGCUUCCAACACAGGGACCCUUCAGAACAAGCAUAAACACAACAGCACAUGAAAAGGCGUUUGACAUCUUUAAAGCAGGAAGCAGGAAUCCAAUUACAGUGAGUCACCACUGGACACUGGCAUGACCUUGGCUGAGAUUAUCAGAGUCCACCGAUCCUGAGAAAGGUCCAGUGGGAGAAAAUCAAGAAGAUGUGGCUGAGGCAGAGCUCAGCGACAGACACCUGCCCAGAUGAUGGCGAAGGGUGAUCUUGGACAGUAUGCGCAGGGCAGGGCCCGCGUCCUGGUUCGUAGCAGCCUCCCGUGCAUUAGAAAAACCAUCUACUUUUGCCGACUGCUUUAGCACUGAAGACUGCUUUGGCAAUGAUAUAGCUGACUUUCCAUAAACUAAGUAAACUAAACCCACAGCUCCAGGGCUUUGAGACUGGACAAAAGCACUUAUCAAGAAAGAAAGCCAGCAGAGUUAUAUUCAGAUUCUCACUGGUUCAUUUUCCUAAUACUUGGAAUUCAACUGACCUGACUCAUGGAAGAGAGCCAGGUAAUCAAGAACCGCAUGGGAAGCCUCUGGUGAUAGACUUUUGGAGAGCGAGGAAAGAAAAGAUGACAAAGCAUCCACAGGGAGCAAGAUUUUCAGUCUUUACAGCUCGGGCUACAGAACAGGAUGCUAACCUUCACCUCAUCUUGGCAACAUCUUAGGAUCCUUGGACCAGCAGGGGAGGAAUCAUUCAUCCUGCUACGAGAUGCUUUCCAAUAAAAUUUCAUUUUUUCU